RNAcentral lists this microRNA (18 nucleotides) under Corchorus olitorius. RNAcentral describes it as "cin-miR-4192-". Lineage: Eukaryota; Viridiplantae; Streptophyta; Magnoliopsida; Malvales; Malvaceae. The record is from RNAcentral.
UCAUAGAAAAUUGAUUAA